This 481-nucleotide ribosomal RNA is filed under the name uncultured bacterium. Its description in RNAcentral is "partial 16S ribosomal RNA". It matches the Rfam family "Bacterial small subunit ribosomal RNA", at positions 28 to 507 of the family's 1533-position model. The record is from RNAcentral.
GAUGAACGCUGGCGGCGUGCUUAACACAUGCAAGUCGAACGAAGCACUUUAUUUGAUUUCCUUCGGGACUGAUUAUUUUGUGACUGAGUGGCGGACGGGUGAGUAACGCGUGGGUAACCUGCCUUGUACAGGGGGAUAACAGUUGGAAACGGCUGCUAAUACCGCAUAAGCGCACGGCAUCGCAUGAUGCAGUGUGAAAAACUCCGGUGGUAUAAGAUGGACCCGCGUUGGAUUAGCUAGUUGGUGAGGUAACGGCCCACCAAGGCGACGAUCCAUAGCCGACCUGAGAGGGUGACCGGCCACAUUGGGACUGAGACACGGCCAAAACUCCUACGGGAGGCAGCAGUGGGGAAUAUUGCACAAUGGGCGAAAGACUGAUGCAGCGACGCCGCGUGAGCGAAGAAGUAUUUCGGUAUGUAAAGCUCUAUCAGCAGGGAAGAUAAUGACGGUACCUGACGAAGAAGCACCGGCUAAAUACGUG